RNAcentral lists this ribosomal RNA (333 nucleotides) under Triticum aestivum (bread wheat). Its description in RNAcentral is "partial small subunit ribosomal RNA". Lineage: Eukaryota; Viridiplantae; Streptophyta; Magnoliopsida; Poales; Poaceae. The record is from RNAcentral.
AUGGGUUUAUGUGAAGCACCCGACACUUUCACGCGAGUUAUACAUUUUGUUCUUAGGCCAUACAUUGGUGUAUUUGUUGUGGUCUAUUUCGAUGAUAUUCUUGGCUUCAGAAAAUCCCUCAAAGAUCAUGUCACCCGUCUUAGAACCGUGUUGCAAACCCUUAGGAAACAGCGACUUUAUGCUAAUAUGGACAAAUGCCUUUUCAGUGUUGAUAAGCUUGUUUUCUUGGGUUUUGUGGUAUCUUCUAAGGGUGAGCAUGUAGAUGAAUCUAGGAUCAAUGCUAUUAAAACUUGGCCACAACCAUCCAUAAAGCUUGGCAGGUUUCUAUCGUAG